UACAGAGACUGCAAGCGUUAUUCGGAUUCACUGGGCGUAAAGGGUGCGCAGGCGGCCAAGUGUGUGAGGCGUGAAAGCCCGGGGCUUAACCCCGGAAUUGCACCUCAAACUACAUGGCUAGAGCAUUGGAGAGGGUAGCGGAAUUCACGGUGUAGCAGUGAAAUGCGUAGAGAUGUGGAGGAACACCGAUGGCGAAGGCAGCCUCCUGGGCCAGCACUGACGCUCAUGCACGAAAGCGUGGGGAGCAAACAGG
This 253-nucleotide ribosomal RNA is filed under the name uncultured prokaryote. RNAcentral's name for it is "partial 16S ribosomal RNA". It matches the Rfam family "Bacterial small subunit ribosomal RNA", at positions 524 to 776 of the family's 1533-position model. The record is from RNAcentral.